UCCGGAGGGUGCAAUCGUUGUUCGGAAUCACUGGGCGUAAAGCGCGUGUAGGCGGCCUCCUCAGUCGGAUGUGAAAGCCCGGGGCUCACCCCCGGAAGUGCAUUGGAUACUGGGAGGCUGGAGUACCGGAGAGGAGGGUGGAAUUCCUGGUGUAGCGGUGAAAUGCGUAGAUAUCAGGAGGAACACCGGUGGCGAAGGCGGCCCUCUGGACGGAUACUGACGCUGAGACGCGACAGCGUGGGGAGCAAACAGG
This 253-nucleotide ribosomal RNA is filed under the name uncultured bacterium. Its description in RNAcentral is "partial 16S ribosomal RNA". It matches the Rfam family "Bacterial small subunit ribosomal RNA", at positions 524 to 776 of the family's 1533-position model. The record is from RNAcentral.